GGUCCUGUAGUUUAAGUUAAAACAAUAAAUUGCAAAUUUAGUGAUAAAAGUAUUUUCAGGAUUU
Molecule: transfer RNA, 64 nt
Filed under: Mactra alta
Lineage: Eukaryota; Metazoa; Mollusca; Bivalvia; Venerida; Mactridae
Description: tRNA-Cys
Rfam family: tRNA
About the family: Transfer RNA (tRNA) molecules are approximately 80 nucleotides in length. Their secondary structure includes four short double-helical elements and three loops (D, anti-codon, and T loops).
Source: RNAcentral